Long non-coding RNA from Melospiza georgiana, 261 nucleotides. RefSeq lists it as uncharacterized. The record is from RefSeq and is a predicted model, not a curated record. NCBI's taxonomy places the organism in Eukaryota, Metazoa, Chordata, Aves, Passeriformes, Passerellidae. The transcript has 4 exons.
UUAUCCUGCAGCCCUUUCACUUUCAUCCUAACUUUCUUUUAGUUGCAGAAGGAUAAAUCCAGGGCAGAGCCCCCCAUUCUGGGUGAGGGGAUUCCCCUGUGAAGGAAGUCAAGGCAGAGAGCAGCUGUCAAGGCUGAGUGGGCAAGAUGGACUGCUUGCCAUCUAUCCUAGCCCAGCAUGCCCAUGCCAGGUGCUGUCGCUGCCCUAGGCAUGCCGGGGAAGAGAGGAGGGCAGGUGACUCGGAGUUUAGGCGGGCUGAUU